UGACUUUCGGAGGAGGUAAUGACCAGUUCCAUUGAUGCCUUUUGGUAUUGUGGAUAGGGGUACGGUUUUCCACCGUACCGAAACCUAGCAGAGGGCCAGUCUGGUGCCAGCAGCUGCGGUAAUUCCAGCUCUGCGAGUUUGCUCCCAUAUUGUUGCAGUUAAAACGCCCGUAGUCUGAAUUGGCCAGCAAUGGUCGUAUGUAUUUAUACGUUCACUGUGAACAAAUCAGGACGCUUAGAGUAUGGCUACGUGAAUGACUCAGCGCAGUAUGAAGUCUUUGUUUUCUUCCGAAAACAAGCUCAACGAGAGCCAUCGGGGGUAGAUCUAUCUCAUGACGAGUGGUGGAAUACUUUGACUCAUGAGAGAGAAUCUGAGGCGAAGGCGUCUACCUAGAGGGUUUCUGUCGAUCAAGGGCGAGAGUAGGAGUAUCCAACAGGAUUAGAGACCCUGGUAGUUCCUACCUUAAACGAUGCCGACAGGAGUUUGUCACUUGUUAGUGGCAGAAUCUUGGAGAAAUCAUAGUUCUUGGGCUCUGGGGGAACUACGACCGCAAGGCUGAAACUUGAAGGAAUUGACGGAAGGGCACACCAGGGGUGGAGCCUGUGGCUUAAUUUGAAUCAACACGGGGAAACUUACCAGGACCAGAUGUUUUUUAUGACUGACAGGCUUUGGGUCUUUCAGGAUAUUGCUUUUGGUGGUGCAUGGCCGUUGGUGGUGCGUGGGUUGACCUGUCUAGCGUUGAUUCAGCUAACGAGCGAGAUUAUCGCCAAUUAUCUACUUCAUCUAAGUCUUAGAUGGAAGUUCUAAUUGGGACUCCCUGCGAUUUUAGCAGGUGGAAGAGGGUAGCAAUAACAGGUCCGUGAUGCCCUUUAGAUGCUCUGGGCUGCACGCGUGCUACAAUGUUAGGAUCAAUAGGACUGCAAAGCCGAGAGGCCGCGCUACUCUUAUAAUCCCUAACGUAGUUGGGAUUGACGUUUGUAAUCAGCGUCAUGAACCAGGAAUCCCUUGUAAAUGUGUGUCAACAACGCACGUUGAAUACGUCCCUGCCCUUUGUACACACCGCCCGUCGCUCCUACCGAUUGGAUGACUCGGUGAAAUCACCGGAUGCUUACGAGCAGAAAGUGAU
Molecule: ribosomal RNA, 1126 nt
Filed under: Trichomonas gallinae
Lineage: Eukaryota; Parabasalia; Trichomonadida; Trichomonadidae
Description: SSU rRNA
Rfam family: Eukaryotic small subunit ribosomal RNA
Source: RNAcentral